Non-coding RNA from Nephila pilipes (giant wood spider), 72 nucleotides. The record is from the annotation of a GenBank genome assembly. NCBI's taxonomy places the organism in Eukaryota, Metazoa, Arthropoda, Arachnida, Araneae, Nephilidae.
GGUUUUGUGGUAUAAUGGUUAGUACGCUGAAGUUGGAAUUCAGUGAUCCGAAUUCAAAUCCCGCUGUAUCCU